Molecule: ribosomal RNA, 525 nt
Filed under: Triticum aestivum (bread wheat)
Lineage: Eukaryota; Viridiplantae; Streptophyta; Magnoliopsida; Poales; Poaceae
Description: partial small subunit ribosomal RNA
Source: RNAcentral
AUGGCGACCGGCCUGCGGUAUGCGAGUCACUUGUCAUUGUUGAGUAUGUUGAUGAGGCCUUUGAUGGCCCGCCGCUCCUCCCCUCCGACCCCUUCGCCCGUGCCUCCGCCCGCUUCUGGGCUCGCUUCGUCAACGAGAAGGUGGUGCUGGAGGUCUGUAUGGAUGGCACUCUGGACGGACGGUCAAGUGCAAGCUUCAUCAGCGAGGGAGACGGCAGAGAACCUAAAGCUUCUUGAGGGACAGUUGCCGGAGGGGAAGAGGUUUUUCGGAGGUGAUACUAUUGGCUUCCUCGACAUAGCCAUGGGCGGGAUCGCGCGUUGGUUAGGAGUGUUUGAGGAGAUGGCCGGGGUAAGGCUGCUCACCGAGGAGGACCGCCCAUUGUUGUACAAGUGGGUGAGGGACUACAAGGCUGACGACAAUGUGAGGCAAUGCCUUCCGGAGAGGGGUCGUGUGCUUGCCGAGUUGGCGACGAGGAAGGAUCGGUAUGUGUCCAUAGCUAUGAGGAUGGCGGCAAAGAACUCCUAG